CUCUUCAGUUCCUUGUGAGUUGAAUCCAAGAAAAGCAUUGGCUCUGAAGAAUUUCCUGUACUCUCUACGGACCUGAAAAUUUAAACAAACCCCCCAAAAUGAGUAUGAAGAAUGAAUUUGUUUUCACUGGUACUCUUAUAAUUCUUAAUGGCAGAAAACAGUCAGAAAGCAGACAAACAUGAAAAGUGUUCCCUGAAAUGCAAACACUAAGUGGAUACACUUAAAAUAUAUGAACC
RNAcentral lists this long non-coding RNA (236 nucleotides) under Gallus gallus (chicken). Lineage: Eukaryota; Metazoa; Chordata; Aves; Galliformes; Phasianidae. The record is from RNAcentral.